CCUACGGGUGGCUGCAGUGGGGAAUUUUGCGCAAUGGGCGAAAGCCUGACGCAGCAACGCCGCGUGCGGGAUGAAGGCCUUCGGGUUGUAAACCGCUUUCAGCAGGGAUGAAACUGACAGUACCUGCAGAAGAAGCCCCGGCUAACUACGUGCCAGCAGCCGCGGUAAUACGUAGGGGGCAAGCGUUAUCCGGAUUUAUUGGGCGUAAAGCGCGCGUAGGCGGCUUGUUAAGCGAGAUGUGAAAACCGGGGGCUUAACCCGCGGCCUGCAUCUCGAACUGGCAGGCUUGAGUCUGGUAGAGGAAAGUGGAAUUCCCAGUGUAGCGGUGAAAUGCGCAGAUAUUGGGAGGAACACCAGUGGCGAAGGCGGCUUUCUGGGCCACGACUGACGCUGAGGCGCGAAAGCUAGGGGAGCGAACAGGAUUAGAUACCCUUGUAGUCU
Molecule: ribosomal RNA, 441 nt
Filed under: uncultured bacterium
Lineage: Bacteria
Description: bacterial SSU rRNA
Rfam family: Bacterial small subunit ribosomal RNA
Source: RNAcentral